UACGUAGGGACCAAGCGUUGUUCGGAUUUACUGGGCGUAAAGGGCGCGUAGGCGGCAUGACAAGUCACUUGUGAAAUCUCCGGGCUUAACUCGGAACGGUCAAGCGAUACUGUCGCGCUAGAGUGCGGAAGGGGCAAUCAGAAUUCUUGGUGUAGCGGUGAAAUGCGUAGAUAUCGUAAGGAAGACCAGUGGCGAAGGCGGGUCUCUGGACAGUUCCUGACGCUGAGGCACGAAGGUCAGGGGAGCAAACGGG
Molecule: ribosomal RNA, 253 nt
Filed under: uncultured bacterium
Lineage: Bacteria
Description: partial 16S ribosomal RNA
Rfam family: Bacterial small subunit ribosomal RNA
Source: RNAcentral